CUGGUCGACCCAAAUCCUUUGGGAUAAGGUAUCAUGGAGGGUGAGAAUCCCGUCCGGUUGACCUCAGGAUGUUUUACGUUACGCUCUCUAAGAGUCGAGUUGUUUGGGAUUGCAGCUCAAAAUGGGAGGUAAAUUUCUCCUAAGGCUAAAUACAGGCGAGAGGCCGAUAGCGAACAAGUACCGUGAGGGAAAGAUGAAAAGAACUUUGAAAAGAGAGUCAAACAGUACGUGAAAUUGUUGAAAGGGAAACGAUUGAAGCCAGUCGUACCGUCGGGAAUUCAACUUUUUAAGUGCUUGUCGUGGGUGAUGUAGAGCCUCACGGCCUUCGUUGCUUUGCGUUAUGGUGCUUUUAGGGUGUACUUUUCCGUUGCUAUUAUGGUAGGUCAAUAUCGAUUUUGAUCGUCAUAAAAUGAUCGGAGGAAUGUGGCUUCGAUCUCGUAUCGGAGUGUUAUAGCCUUUGGUAGCGAAUAUGUGACGACUGGGAUCGAGGAUUGCAACGAAUACCCUUUGGGCUAUCCGUCU
RNAcentral lists this ribosomal RNA (522 nucleotides) under uncultured Glomus. RNAcentral's name for it is "eukaryotic LSU rRNA". It matches the Rfam family "Eukaryotic large subunit ribosomal RNA", at positions 172 to 654 of the family's 3401-position model. The record is from RNAcentral. Lineage: Eukaryota; Fungi; Glomeromycota; Glomeromycetes; Glomerales; Glomeraceae.